Papaver somniferum (opium poppy) is the source of this 6981-nucleotide RNA transcript. It is a transcript of the gene named F-box protein At3g07870-like, with no coding region annotated. The record is from RefSeq and is a predicted model, not a curated record. NCBI's taxonomy places the organism in Eukaryota, Viridiplantae, Streptophyta, Magnoliopsida, Ranunculales, Papaveraceae. The transcript is spliced from 2 exons.
UCAUUUUCACCUUUACUAUUUGCGAGUCUUUCCUCAGCCAAAAAGACACACUAACCCUAGAAUUUCUUUAAACCACCCACUCUGUGAAUUUUUCUCUCUUCAACAAGAUGAACAAGGGGAUAAUGAUGGGGUAUUUCCAACAUCUACCCGAAGAGAUUAUAUUAGACAUUCUCAAUCGAUUACCGACUGAAACGGUUCUAGAAUGCAAAUCCGUAUGCAGGACCAGGAGAAGUCUUAUUCGUCAUCCAACAUUCUCAAAGACGCAUUUACAUCAUCUCAAUCAUUCUACUGUUGAAUCUGAUAAGUUGGGUUUCAUUGUUUUAACAAUUAUAAUAGGUGGUGGGAGGGGGAUUGAGAAUUGUCAGUAUUUUGAAUAUAAUGAGAAUCAUGAAUCCAUCGACAGAAUUGAAAGACUUAAUUUUGACCUUCCGUUUGGUUGGGAUACUAGAAUUCUUGGUUCGUCCAAUGGUUUGAUCUGUCUCUCUCGAAGGUUGAAAGAGGAUAAAACUUAUAUUUGUAACCCUAUUACCAGAGAGUAUCUUAUGCUUCCAGAAAUUGUGAAGAGAGUUGGAAUGGGUGAUGGGGCAAAAGGAUUCGGUUACGUUCCUUCAACCAACGAGUACAAAGCUGUAACAAUAGUGUCCUACUACCAGGGCAAGUUUGGAGAAACUUACAUAUACACUCUAGGGAGUGGAAAUGGAUGGAGAAAUCUUGGAGAGUUUAAUUUUAGAUCCAGAGCGUAUCAGUGGGGACAUGGUAUCUUUGUCAAUGGAGCUCUUUAUUGGUGGGAUCAUCUAUUGAAAAUGAUUGUUAACUUCGAUUUGGCUGAGGAGAAGUUCUGCGAACAUCUUUCACCACCAGCACCUAUUUUGUCAAACAGUGAUUUUAAUGAUUUUUUUAGACCAUGUGUUUUGGAUGGAUGUUUGUGUUUUGCUAUUAAUCUACGUGACAAUGGAGCUACAUGUUGGGAUGUGUGGCUAUUGAAAAAGAAAGAUGAUAAUCAUGGCAUAAAAGAGCGAGACAGACAUCAGUCAUUGGGUUGGAGUAAAGUGUUUAGGAUAGCUGGCGCUCUUGGCUGGAAUUUGUUUGCUGUUACGAAGAGUUAUAGUGUCUUAACUUACGUCUGUAACAGUAUCAAGAUUAACGAACCGGAAGCUUCAACCUCAAAAGCAGUUGUGGAUUUUAAAGAAUACUAUGAUCAAGUUUUCCCUCACGAGAACACCUUAGUUUCGUUGAAAGAAUUAGGGGAAGAAGAUACGAAGAUAAUGGAGUCAGUUGAAAUUGCGAAAACAGAAUGCCAGCAUCAGCCCUUCAACCAGUUGUAGGAGGAUGAGACCCAGGAUACCUACUUAUAAACAGGUAAUCUUUGUUGAGAUUCAUUUUCAAAUUGGAUUAAUAUGUGUAGACUACUGUUAUUAUACAUAUGUCUUCGUAUGAACUUUAUAUGGGAGUGCUUUUACUUUCUGAAUUUAGGUUAAGCUGCAUUGCUAACUCUGCAGUGCACUUUGUAUGCUCUAGUAACUUAUCUUAUAAAUUACUAAAACUGAUUCAAUUAUGGAAAGUGAGGGCUUUCCCAGUAGUGUCGAGGUAUUAUAUUUUAGUAUUGCUUCAAAAUAUUAUUUGCCAGAUAGAGAUAGAAUCCAGAUUGAUAGUUUACCGUAGCAUUAGUGUUGUAUCACUAUCAUAUUACAAUAAAUUUCUAGUUUGAACAAAACCACCCAAGUUUGUCUUCAUUCAUCCAUAAAUUAAAUCUACAAACAAAGUUCUCUGUGACAAGUGAUAACAUGUUUCUCUUCUGUCGUUAACUUUAAUCAACCUAGUUGUUUGUCAUCGAUAUGCAUCUUUUCCAUCUCUAUGGGAAGGAUCAAUACACUAGGUACCUUGCAGGACUUGGAGCAAUUUUCCUUGACAGCAAGGAUUUUAACAUCUACUUUGACCACAAAAAAGAUUCAUGUUUGUGGUCACUUAUUCAGGGACUUUUUGAGAUAACUGCAUAACAAGGAUCGCUUGUUUACAAAUUUUUGGAUGUGCUACGUAUGCGUGCUUGAGAAUUUUUUUUUUUAAUAAUAGCAAGACUGAACAAAAAUCUUUUGAGGUUUUUGUUAGCCAGUAUAACUUUUUAUUCUUGAUCAGUUUGCUCUACACAGUAGUUGCUUGAAUUUGUUUGUUUUUAGCUCUUAAUUUGUUUCUUGUAAUAUAUGUUUUCUUUACUUAAGUUUUUGCGAAUGUACAAAAAGAGAUGUGAAUACAAUUAGUUGUUUCAAGGGGAUCCCAUGCAAACAUUACACCCCAAUUGAAGCUGGAGUUCCGAUAUUAUGUUACCUGAAGGAUGCAUUUGUUUCUCAUUUUUAUCAUCUUUCAUGAUCUACACUUUUGUUUUUUUGGUUUUCACAUUAAAGUUGUAUUUCUUAAAUAUCAGGUUUCUUUAUCGAAUGUUGAUUGAAAAUCUUGUGACUAGAUUUAGAGGUUGGAAGUUAAAAAUUGGAGCCCACAGUCGCAUAGUUAUCAUGUAAUAUUAAUGUCAUUACUGGCCCAAAAAGAGUUCAUAGAAUUUUUCUGUUUUCCCAGUGGAAGUAGCAGCAUUGUUGUGGCUAUCUUGAUUUAAAGAUUCAAAUCCUACCAAAUUUGCUACAGGAUUUAGCUUUAUACUAUAGUCUUUUACUGAUAGAAGCUGAUUUUCAUUUAAAACAAAAAAACAAACGAAAAAGCAGGAAGAUAUGUUUGUCAGGUACUUCAGGCUGUUUCACAAUUUCUUUAUAUUGUUCUUAUAUUUGUCUCAUUUACUAGCUACAAUAUUUGUUUACUAUUCUUUAAUUUUUCUGACAAUUUCUACUUGUACAGCAAGUAUGUAAACACCAGUUUCUAGUUCUUUUUUCCUUCCGGUCUGGCUGAUUCCCUGCUAUUUCAUUUGAUUGCUAGAUAGUUGGUAGAGACAACUUCAGGCCGUGGGUUUAGAACCUACAUGUUCUGUCAUUUCACUAGAGAGGCAUCUACCCUUCACUAAUGCAUUUUCGUUGUUAUAUUUGGCAGCUGAAGUUCUUGUUUGACUGUCCCAUGCAACAAAAUCAAGUAUUUCAUGUGUGACAAAACUUAAACUUAUCCAAGUGUAAACUGCCUAGUACUCCUUUUGUUUUGCAGACUUUUUCUUUCACCUCUGGAGAUUUUAUUCUCAGUUUUCUUUAUACCAAGCUGUACUCAUUAUUCUUCAUAGCUGAGACAAUAAUUCGUUACUCGGGGAGCUCUAGUUUUGGUCCUGUUUAUUCCUUGUUUUUCUUAACUUAUUUCCCUACCACAUUUAUCACCUUGAAUAUACACAAACAGGAUCUCUAUGAUUUUUUUUUUCAAUUUUGUUGCAUAAUAUAGAUGAAAUAAUAAUAGGCGCAGUAUAAACGUGAAAGCCAACUGUCGACUCUGUCUGAUUCGAGAAGUUGUUGACAUUGUUAGUUGAUAUUUGUAAUGUCUUUGUCUUCAAAUUGUUGUUUAUUGUUGUCACUGUCUUUUUUUUUUUAUAACUUUUACAUUACAGAACUUUUGAAAUGAAGAAAGACUUGUUCUUGGUUUGAUUAUGAAGUUUUUGCGUUACAACUUGACAGACACAAUGCAAGAGUGUCUGCCCAGAAAGAUAGAAAAAACUAUACCGAUCAUACCAAUUAGUCAACCUUAAUACUUCCGACUCUUUCUUUGGGCAUCAUUUUCAGAUUAAAUCCUGCACAAGUAUAAACAAAUAACUUAAAAUUUCAUCGUGAUCACCUGUUACACAUCUCUCUAAAUGUUGUCUUCCACAUGAAGCUCCAUUAUCCCAGAUGCCUUCACCUUCAGCCAAAAAUCAAUCCUAAAAUUUCUCUAAACCAUCUUCAUCUCUGUGAAUCUUCUCUGUUCAACAAGAAGAAGAGGAUUUUGAAUCUGAUGGAGUAUUUCAAUUGUAUGCCCGAAGAAAUUACAUUAGACGUUAUCAGUAGAGUACCAGCUGAGUCGAUUCUUGAGUGCAAAUUGGUAUGCAUGACUUGGAGAAAUCUUGUUUCUCACCAUCCAUUAUUCUUGAAGAUGCACUUACAACAUCAUCUUAAUCAUCCUGCUGCUGCUGAUUCUGGUAAGUUGGGUUUCAUUGCUUUGACUUUGGAUGAGAGUUUUCAAUAUUUUGUAUAUAAUGAGAAUCAUGAAUCCAUCGAGAGAAUUAGAAGGCUUAAUUUUAACCUUCCGUUUGGUGGGCAUACUAGAAUUCUUGGUUCGUCUAAUGGUUUGAUCUGUCUUUCUCGAAGAUUGAAAGAGGAAAAAACUUAUGUUUGUAACCCCAUUACCAGAGAAUAUGUUAUGCUUCCAGAAAUUGUUAAGAGAUUUGGAACGAGUCGUGGGGCGAAAGGAUUUGGUUACGUUUCUUCAACCAACGAGUACAAAAUUGUAACUGUGAUGUUCGAGAACUGGGGGUUUGUAGAAGCUUACAUAUACACACUAGGCAGUGGAAAUGGAUGGAGAAAUCUUGGAGAGUUUAAGUUUGGAUCCGAAGUACAUCUCUGGGAACAAGGUAUCUUUCUCAAUGGAGCUAUUUAUUGGUGGGACAGACUAUUGAAAAUGAUUGUUACCUUCGAUUUGGCUGAGGAGAACUUCUGUGAACAUCUUUCACCACCUGCAUCUUUUGAUUCAGGCAAUGAUGAUUUUAGAAAUUAUUGUAGACUAUGGGUUUUGGAUGGGUGUUUGUGUUUUGCUGGUUCUCUAGUUGUCGAUGGAAAUUGUAAACGUAUAUGUUGGAACGCGUGGCUAUUGAAAAAGAAGGAUGAUCAGUCAUUGGGUUGGAGUAAAGUGUUUAGGAUUUAUAACCAAGAAUUUUUUGCUGUUACGAAGAGGUACAGUGUCUUAACUUACAUCCAUAACAGUAUCACCAUCCACGACCCAGAAACUUCAACCACUAAAUAUAUUCUGGAUUUUGAAGAAUGUUUUGACGAAGUAUUCCCUCACAAGAACACCUUAGUUUCGUUGAAAGAGUUAGGGGAAGAAGAUACGAAAAUAAUGGAGUCAGUUGAAAUUGCAGAGACAGAAAGCGAUGAUCAGCCCUUCAACCAGUUGUAGGAGGAUGAGACCCAGGCUACCUACUUAUAAACAGAUUGCAGAUAUCUUCACAAGGCUCUACAUGGUCCUCAGUUCUCUAUAUUAAGAUCCAAGCUCAAGAUUCUUGCUUCUCCCACCUGUUUCUGAUUGACAGUUCUGGUGCUGUGGUGAAGGAUAACCCUUGCAGUGGUGUAGUUUAAGUUUCUGUGAUAACAGAAACUGUUAUUCACUGUCGACUCUUGUUUUUACUCUCCGUCACUGAGUGUAUUUGAAGUCAUUUCUGUAAUGAGAUUACUCUCAAGUUUCUCCAUUAAUAAAAUCAUCACCUUCACCAUGUUAUCAUGUAUCAUCUAGGGGGAAUCAUGGCCUGCAUGUUUUGGUGGUGGUGGUCUUUGUUGUACCGCAAAAGCAGAAUUUAAAGAUGGUUUGUGUAAUCAAUCAGAAAUUGCAAGUUUCCACCGUUUUUAGCCGACACAUUUUCUCCCUCUCAGCCGUUUUUUUCCGAAACAAUGACACCGUUAAAAUAGUCACGGGAUAGAUUUUGGAACCCAUAUCUCACAAAGCGAUUCAUUUUCUCCUUCACUCUUCUUUCCUCAGCAAAAAAAUCACUUAAACCCUAGAAUUUGUCUAAAACCCAAAAUCCGUUAGCAGUUCAAUAUGGAGAAGAAAGGGAUUUUGAUUGUCUUACCAUCAGAGGUUACCCUAGACAUUCUCGGUCGAUUACCAGUUGAAUGGGUUCUAGAAUGCAGGAGCUGGAGAAGUCUGAUUCGUCGUCCAUUAUUCUCAAAGAUGCACUUGCGACAUCAUCUUAAUCAUCCUACUGCUUCUGAUUCUGGUAAAUUGGGUUUCAUUGGUUUGACUUUUCAAGGUGAUGAGAAUGAGAAUUUUCGGUAUUUUGAAUAUAAUGAGAAUCAUGAAUCUAUCGAGAGAAUUAGAAGGCUUAAUUUGAAUCUUCCGUUUGGUGGGGAUACUAGAAUUGUUGGUUCAUCCAAUGGUUUGAUCUGUCUUUCUCGAAGAUAUUCAGAAGAUAAAACUUGUAUUUUUAACCCCAUCACCAGAGAGUAUGUUAUGCUUACAGAACUUAUUAAGAGAGUUGGAAUGGAUCGUUGGGUGAAAGGAUUUGGUUACGUUCCUUCAACAAACGAGUACAAAGUUGUAACAGUAAUGCUCGAUCACCGCAGCAAUUUUGUAGAAGCUUACACAUACACUCUAGGGAGUGGAAAUGGAUGGAGAAAUCUUGGAGAGUUCAAUUAUGGAAGCAAACCACAUCUUUGGGAACAAGGUAUGUUUGUCAAUGGAGCUCUUUAUUUGUGGGACUCUCCACUUAAAAUGAUUGUUGUGAACAUCUUUCACUGCCUGCGCCUGUUUUGUUAAACAGUGAUUUUAAUAAUUAUUGUAGACUAUGGGUUUUGGAUGGCUGUAUGUAUUUUUCUAUUGAUCUCGAUGUCAUUGGAACUAUGUGUUUGGACAUGUGACUAUUGAAAACGAAGGAUGAUAAUCACGGUAUGAAAGAGCGAGAAGGACACCAGUCAUUGGGUUGGAGUAAAGUGUUUAGGAUAACUGGCAGGCUUGGCAGCAAAUUGUUUGCCAUUACGAAGAGUUACAAUGUCUUAACUUACAACCAGAACAAUAUCAACAUUCAUGACCCAGAAACUUCAACCUCGAAAUAUAUUCUGGAUUGAUGAAGUAUUCCCUCACAAGAACACCUUAGUUUCGUUGAAAGAAUUAGGGGAAGAAGAUGCGAAGAUCAAGGAGUCAGUUGAAAUUGCGGAGACAGAACGCCACAGUCAGCCCUUCAACCAGUUGUAGAAGGAUGAGACCCAGGAUACCUAAUUAUAAACAGGUAAUCUUUGUUGAGAUUCAUUUUAGACUACUGUUAUGAUAUAUGUGUCUUUCUAUCAACUUUAUAUGGGAGUGUGCUCUUACUUUCUGAUUUAA